RNAcentral lists this ribosomal RNA (586 nucleotides) under uncultured bacterium. RNAcentral's name for it is "bacterial SSU rRNA". It matches the Rfam family "Bacterial small subunit ribosomal RNA", at positions 338 to 916 of the family's 1533-position model. The record is from RNAcentral.
CCUACGGGAGGCAGCAGUGGGGAAUUUUGGACAAUGGGCGCAAGCCUGAUCCAGCAAUGCCGCGUGCAGGAUGAAGGCCUUCGGGUUGUAAACUGCUUUUGUACGGAACGAAAAAGUCUGCCCUAAUACGGUGGGCCCAUGACGGUACCGUAAGAAUAAGCACCGGCUAACUACGUGCCAGCAGCCGCGGUAAUACGUAGGGUGCGAGCGUUAAUCGGAAUUACUGGGCGUAAAGCGUGCGCAGGCGGUUAUAUAAGACAGAUGUGAAAUCCCCGGGCUCAACCUGGGACCUGCAUUUGUGACUGUAUAGCUAGAGUACGGUAGAGGGGGAUGGAAUUCCGCGUGUAGCAGUGAAAUGCGUAGAUAUGCGGAGGAACACCGAUGGCGAAGGCAAUCCCCUGGACCUGUACUGACGCUCAUGCACGAAAGCGUGGGGAGCAAACAGGAUUAGAUACCCUGGUAGUCCACGCCCUAAACGAUGUCAACUGGUUGUUGGGUCUUCACUGACUCAGUAACGAAGCUAACGCGUGAAGUUGACCGCCUGGGGAGUACGGCCGCAAGGUUGAAACUCGAAAUGAAUUGACGG